This 478-nucleotide ribosomal RNA is filed under the name uncultured bacterium. RNAcentral's name for it is "partial 16S ribosomal RNA". It matches the Rfam family "Bacterial small subunit ribosomal RNA", at positions 28 to 523 of the family's 1533-position model. The record is from RNAcentral.
GACGAACGCUGGCGGCGUGCUUAACACAUGCAAGUCGAGCGAUGAAGUUCCUUCGGGAAUGGAUUAGCGGCGGACGGGUGAGUAACACGUGGGUAACCUGCCUCAUAGAGGGGAAUAGCCUUUCGAAAGGAAGAUUAAUACCGCAUAAGAUUGUAGUAUCGCAUGAUACAGCAAUUAAAGGAGUAAUCCGCUAUGAGAUGGACCCGCGUCGCAUUAGCUAGUUGGUGAGGUAACGGCUCACCAAGGCGACGAUGCGUAGCCGACCUGAGAGGGUGAUCGGCCACAUUGGGACUGAGACACGGCCCAGACUCCUACGGGAGGCAGCAGUGGGGAAUAUUGCACAAUGGGGGAAACCCUGAUGCAGCAACGCCGCGUGAGUGAUGACGGUCUUCGGAUUGUAAAACUCUGUCUUCAGGGACGAUAAUGACGGUACCUGAGGAGGAAGCCACGGCUAACUACGUGCCAGCAGCCGCCGCCG